GCAGUCGAACGAGAAAAUCCUUCGGGAUGAGUACAGUGGCGCACGGGUGCAGCUAAUACGUGGGCAAUCUGCCUUAAAGACCGGGAUAACCUUCCGAAAGGGGGACUAAUACCGGAUAAGACCACGAAUACCACGGUAUUUGAGGCCAAAGGGUGCUUUUACGGGUGCCGCUUUGAGAUGAGCCCGCGGUGCAUUAGCUUGAUGGUAGGGUAAAGGCCUACCAUGGCUCCGAUGCAUAGCUGGUCUGAGAGGACGAUCAGCCACACUGGAACUGAGACACGGUCCAGACUCCUACGGGAGGCAGCAGUGGGGAAUAUUGGACAAUGGGGGAAACCCUGAUCCAGCAACGCCGCGUGAGUGAUGAAGGCUUUCGGGUCGUAAAGCUCUGUUGAGGGGGACGAAACUAUACGGGUUACUCCGUAUGCUGACUUAACCCCUUGAGGAAGCACCGGCUAACUCUGUGCCAGCAGCCGCGGUAAUACAGAGGGUGCAAGUGUUGUUCGGAAUUAUUGGGCGUAAAGAGCGCGUAGGUGGCUACGUAAGUCAGAUGUGAAAUCCCUGGGCUCAACCCAGGAACUGCGUUUGAUACUGUGUAGCUAGAGUACGACAGAGGAGAGUGGAAUUCCCGGUGUANAGGUGAAAUUCGUAGAUAUCGGGAGGAACACCAGUGGCGAAAGCGGCUCUCUGGGUCGACACUGACACUGAGGCGCGAAAGCGUGGGUAGCGAACAG
RNAcentral lists this ribosomal RNA (731 nucleotides) under uncultured Pseudomonadota bacterium. RNAcentral describes it as "bacterial SSU rRNA". It matches the Rfam family "Bacterial small subunit ribosomal RNA", at positions 57 to 775 of the family's 1533-position model. The record is from RNAcentral. Lineage: Bacteria; Pseudomonadati; Pseudomonadota.